Long non-coding RNA from Oreochromis niloticus (Nile tilapia), 2441 nucleotides. Lineage: Eukaryota; Metazoa; Chordata; Actinopteri; Cichliformes; Cichlidae. The record is from Ensembl.
CAUUUGUUUGAGGGGAGUCCUCACUAUGGAAAAUAGACUGCACAAAUCCUGUCUCUCUCUGAGCUGCAAUGAUAUCAAUGCUCCAAAUAGAUUUAGAGUUAGAAAGCGUUGUUUGAGGGCAAGUCAAGGCAGUUUUCGCUUUGCCUCUACUCAGUUAUGGUGCAUUAGAAGUCAAAUAUCUUCAAUAAUUCAUAUUUUAAUGAUAAAUUGUCAACACUGUAAGAUUCCCCCAUCUCUUCUGAACAAAACGGUGUAAGAAUGACUGUUCUAGCCCCUACGGUUAGGAAAUUAUAGCCAUUUGUUUGAGGGGAAUCCUGACUAUGAAAAAGAGACAGCACAAAUCCUGUCUCUGUGCUGCGUGUGUGUAAAAACAGGUGCACCUGUUUUUGCGGGAAAAAGUACACAGCCUCUCUGAUUGGUGGAUUCAAAUUUAGCAGCUCCCAGGCUGCUUGACUGACCUAGAAACUUGAUUUUCUCUCCUUGUGUGUGUGUGUGUGUGUGUGUGUGUGUGUGUGUGUGUUUUUGUCUGUCUGUCUGUGUGUGUGUGUGUGUGUGUGUGUGUGUGUGUGUGUGACAGAGAGAGAGAGAAAGAGAGGGCGAGAGAGUUUUUUUAUGGGAGCAUCUUAUUGUAUGAUUUAAAUUCAAUAUAUUUAGACUGGUUGACUGAAUUUGAUCCUGUGUGUGUCUCUCUGUGCAUGUGUGUUUCCAUAUGUGUACAUAUUUGUGAUUGUGUGACUGUUAUACUUUUUUUGCUGAUUUUUUUUCGUUUCACAAUUACAUUUGAGGGACCCUUAGCAUGUUCAGGAUUUUUUCAGCUGUCCAUUUUGCUUUUCCAAUUUUUCUAUUUAAGUUAUUACUAUUGUGCUAAGUCAUAGAAUUUCUGCUGCUUUUCAGUAUUUAUUUUUAUUUCAGUAAUCAUACUAUUUCUGCCAUUUUAUAGGAUUUGUACUUAAUAUAGUAUUUCUGCUUAAUUAUAGUAUUUCUGCCAUUUUAUAAGAUUUGUGCUAAAUAUAGUUUUUCUGCUAAAAAAUAGUAUUUCUGCCAAAUAUAGUAUUUUUGAUUAAUUAUAGUUUUUCUACCAAAUCAUAGUACAGUUUUACUGCUUUUUAUAUGGCUUCUAAGACAACCAAUCAUAUCUGAGGCCUGGCACAUUCAAAUUUGCAUAUUGUUGCCUUCAUGGCUUCCCAGCCAGCCAAUCAUAUCUGAGGCCUGGCACAUUCAAAUUUGCAUAUUGGGGCCUUCAUGGCUUCUAAGCCAACCAAUCAUCUAUGUCAUAUAUCUUUAAUAUUUCAUGUUUGUAUUUUAAAUGGUCAACAUUUCAAGAUUCCCCCAUGUCUUCUGAACAAAACGGUCUAAGAAUGACUGUUUUAGCCCCUACGGUUAGGAAUUUAUGGCUGUUUGUUUGAGGGGAGUCCUGACUAUGAGAAAUAGACUGCAAAAAUCCUGUCUCUCUCUGUGCUGCAUGUGUAAAAGCCUGCACUUGGUGCACCAGUUUUGGCGGGAAAAAGCACACAGCCUCUCUGAUUGGUGGAUUCAAAUUGAGAAGCUCACAGCUGUUUUACUGACCUAGAAACAUGCUGUUAACAGCCCCUGUUCACUUGCUGCUGCUGCUGUGUGUGUGUGUGUGUGUGUGUGUGUGUGUGUGUGUGUGUGUGUGUGAGUGAGAGAGAGAGAGAGAGAGAGAGAGAGAGAGAGACACAAAGACCUUUUUUAGGGCAGCAUCUCAUUGUUGGAUAAAAAUAUAAUAUAUUCAGACUGGUUGACUGGCAUAGACCCUGUGUGUUUGUCUCUCUCUGUACAUUUGUGUAUCCAUAUUUGAUUUUCUGUGUAUUUGGUGAUUUGUGUAUCCAUAUUUGAUUUUGUGUAUCAGUUGGCUGUUCUUAGUUUUUUUUUUCUAAAUGUAUUUUUAUUUUAUUUUUUCAUAGGUGAACAAAAAUUAGUUUUGAGCGAACUUAACCAUGUUCCUUUUUACUCAGCUUAUCAUUUUACCUUUCCAAUAUUUUCACUUAAGUUAUUACUAUUCUGCUCAAUCAUAUUAUCUGUUCUAAAUCAUUGUUAUUAAGCUAUAUUGUAGGAUUUCUGCUAAAUCAUAGUAUUUCUACUAUAUUAUAUUUUUCUUUCUAAAUAGUGUAGAAUAGUGUAGAAUAAUAGAAUAGUGUUUCUCCUAUAUUAUAAUAUUUGUGCUAAACUGGAGUAUUUUUGCUAAAACAUAGUAUUUAUAUAAAAUUACAAUAUUCAUAGUAUAUUACAGUGUCUCUGGUAAAUCACAGCAUUUCUGCUAUGUUGUACUGUUUUUCUAAAUCAUAGUAUUUCUGUAAUGUUUAAGAGUGUUUGGCUAAAUAUAUUCUUUCUGUUAUCUUAUACUAUUUCUCCUAAAUUCUUGUAUUUUUGAGAAGUUAUCGUGUUUCUGGUAAGUUACAAUAUUUCUGCUAAGUUCUGCU